ACGUGGAUAACCUACCUAUAAGACUGGGAUAACUUCGGGAAACCGGAGCUAAUACCGGAUAACAUAUUGAACCGCAUGGUUCAAUAGUGAAAGGCGGCUUUGCUGUCACUUAUAGAUGGAUCCGCGCCGUAUUAGCUAGUUGGUAAGGUAACGGCUUACCAAGGCAACGAUACGUAGCCGACCUGAGAGGGUGAUCGGCCACACUGGAACUGAGACACGGUCCAGACUCCUACGGGAGGCAGCAGUAGGGAAUCUUCCGCAAUGGGCGAAAGCCUGACGGAGCAACGCCGCGUGAGUGAUGAAGGUCUUCGGAUCGUAAAACUCUGUUAUCAGGGAAGAACAAAUGUGUAAGUAACUGUGCACAUCUUGACGGUACCUGAUCAGAAAGCCACGGCUAACUACGUGCCAGCAGCCGCGGUAAUACGUAGGUGGCAAGCGUUAUCCGGAAUUAUUGGGCGUAAAGCGCGCGUAGGCGGUUUUUUAAGUCUGAUGUGAAAGCCCACGGCUCAACCGUGGAGGGUCAUUGGAAACUGGAAAACUUGAGUGCAGAAGAGGAAAGUGGAAUUCCAUGUGUAGCGGUGAAAUGCGCAGAGAUAUGGAGGAACACCAGUGGCGAAGGCGACUUUCUGGUCUGUAACUGACGCUGAUGUGCGAAAGCGUGGGGAUCAAACAGGAUUAGAUACCCUGGUAGUCCACGCCGUAAACGAUGAGUGCUAAGUGUUAGGGGGUUUCCGCCCCUUAGUGCUGCAGCUAACGCAUUAAGC
Molecule: ribosomal RNA, 764 nt
Filed under: Staphylococcus warneri
Lineage: Bacteria; Bacillati; Bacillota; Bacilli; Caryophanales; Staphylococcaceae
Description: bacterial SSU rRNA
Rfam family: Bacterial small subunit ribosomal RNA
Source: RNAcentral